AUGUCGACCAUGCAAUGAGCACGAACGACUAUAUUGACAGCCGCUGCAGCGUUACUGCGAAUUACACGGAUGGAAGUCCAUUUGAAGUAAUUAUGCCAGCCUCUUCUCUACCUUCACUGACAGAUCUGCUGGUUUUUCCCAAGCCACAGUGGAUAAAGGUUCGGACACAGUCUAUGGCCUGGUGCAGUGCAGGGGUGACAUUGGCCAGGAUAGCUGCAAGGAGUGCAUCCGUAAUUCUGCCCAACAAAUCGUCGGAUACUGUCCUUAUAAUAUGGAUGCCAUUAUAUGGUAUGAACACUGCCAGCUCCGCUACUCCAACACCAACUUCUUUGGUCACCUCAAUGUCGAGGAUUAUGGUUCUUGGUAUUGGAUCGAUGAUAAAAUGGAACAGCCCAAAGCCUUUAGUGAAGAGUUGGGUAGUCUGCUGAAGAAUCUCACUGAUCAAGCGACAACACAGCCUAAUUCAAUGUUUUCAAUGUUUCCAAUGUCCAUGUUUGCUACUGGCAACAUCACCUACAAUGAUCUACAGACUAUACGGGCUGGUGCAGUGCACUGGGGAUACCAACCAUGCUGAUUGCAAGCAGUGUUUGAAUGACACCAGGUUCUGGAUCCCGCAACGCACACGGCUGUGAAAUUGCCACGGGAAGUUGCCGUGUGAGGUACGAUACGGAGCUCUUUUAUGGUUCCCCAGCAACUCCAAAGCCUAAAUUAAAUUCAAGACAAAGAGCAUCAACCCAAUCUUCUAAUUCACUACCUCCAAGCCCAAGCACAUCUCCUCUACCACCUCCAUCAGAUUCAAGCCCUCAAACAAAUGGUGCAUCCAACACUACGUCAGGCAAGUCUCUCUCUCUCUCUCUCUCACACACACACACAUAUUCAUAUGACAAGAAUAUUUUAUAUAUGCAGGCAGAAAACACAUGUAUAUCAUAAUCGUCAUCUCCGUCUUGAUGAUUGUGGUUCUUAUUACUUGCUUAAUUUGCGCCUUUUACUGGUGGACGAGAGAAUUUGUUGCCUUUGGAGGAAGACGUUGGAGCCUCGCGGAUUGCAGAGGAAGAAGGAAGAAGAUGAUGGUUCAGAACAACGAGGGGAGCCAACCAAGCAUAUGCAAUUAGAUUGGCCAGUACGUUUCAAGCUCAUAAAUGGCAUUGCCAGAGGAGUUAUGUUUCUUCACGAAGAUUCUCAUCUGCGAAUUGUUCACAGGGAUCUGAAAGCAAGCAACAUUUUAUUAGGUAAAUACAUGAACCCAAGAUCUCAGAUUUCACUGCAAAGAUCGUUGACACAGACCAAACACAAACCGAAACACUUGAGAUUAUGGGAACUCGGUAUGAUGACUUUGGGGGAAGAACAAGGGUCUGCAAGUUGUGGAUCAAAUAUUGGAAGGAACAUGUGACAACGAUGAGAUAUUAAGAUGCAUCCAUAUUGGCCUGCUAUGUGUUCAAGAAGAUGCAUCAAGCAGGCCCAAAAUGUCCAAGGUUGUUGCGAUGACGGCUCCUUGAUCUUUCCAUCCAAUUUGCCUCCUGCCCCCUCUACCUGGAAAAUCAGAAACCUUUCUUUGGGAGCAUAAACGAGCUCAACUAUAUCAGGUACUGGUUCGGAGCUUGGUUCACCUCCUUACUGAAGCUUUGAACUACUCACGUGAGGAGGAAGCAGAGAUUGUAUGUUCCCUACCUUUCAAUGUAUCAUUUGAAUUGUUCCUUUGGCACAUGAGCUUUGAACUUCUUGGUUAGUUUGUCACAGAUGUGUUUUUUGUUUCUAAUUGUUAUCAGGAUGUGGAGAUGCCUCCGUAUAUUUUAAUGUUGUGCAGUAUAAUGUCUAACCUUAUAUUCCUCUGAUGAAGAGAUCAAUGUAUACCUUCUCAUUCUCAUAAUGUAUAUUUAUAUUUCAGUUCAAUGAAAUGAGUA
Nymphaea colorata (pocket water lily) is the source of this 1901-nucleotide RNA transcript. RefSeq lists it as uncharacterized. NCBI's taxonomy places the organism in Eukaryota, Viridiplantae, Streptophyta, Magnoliopsida, Nymphaeales, Nymphaeaceae. The transcript has 3 exons. The record is from RefSeq and is a predicted model, not a curated record.